This is a long non-coding RNA of Tetranychus urticae (two-spotted spider mite), 612 nucleotides long. RefSeq lists it as uncharacterized. The record is from RefSeq and is a predicted model, not a curated record. Lineage: Eukaryota; Metazoa; Arthropoda; Arachnida; Trombidiformes; Tetranychidae.
AACCUUAAGACUGUAAUCGUGUCCUACUUAUCCGGUUGUCUUUUUACUCAUUCAAUUGAACUUAUUGGUUUAUUUAACUCAUUAUUGUCUUUACUUAUUUCUCUGUCCUUUCCCCUCUGCUUUAUGUUCUGGCCUCAUCUGAUUCACGUUCAUUCUGUAUCAUCGUUUUGUUUAUAUCUAAACCUUUUUCUCUCUAUUCUUUUCUCUUUUAUUGAUACCUUUUCACAUAUAAUCAACCAAAGUCUCUCUGCUACGAGGAUUGAAGCACAAUAACAUCGUGACACUUCACGAUAUCAUACACACUGAUAAAACUCUUACCUUGGUGUUCGAGUAUCUGGAGCAAGAUCUGAGGCAAUACAUGGAUCAUUGUGCGAAUCUUUUGAGCCAAAAUAAUGUUAAGAUAUUUCCUUUCCAAAUGGUAAGAGGACCUUCAUACAUUCAUCGGAAACAGAUUUUACACUGAGAUCUCUUGAUUGGAUUGAAAUUAAUUUAUAAAUUUAAAGAUAAUAUUGAAAAGUAAUGAAAAAGCAAACAAACCAACCUGAAAAUAGUUCUGCGCAACUUGAAACGCUUUUGUAUUGCAAUUAAUCUAUUAAAGUUGCUUGGUAAUAA